This 243-nucleotide ribosomal RNA is filed under the name uncultured Anoxybacillus sp. Its description in RNAcentral is "partial 16S ribosomal RNA". It matches the Rfam family "Bacterial small subunit ribosomal RNA", at positions 1138 to 1382 of the family's 1533-position model. The record is from RNAcentral. Lineage: Bacteria; Bacillati; Bacillota; Bacilli; Caryophanales; Anoxybacillaceae.
CUCUAAGGUGACUGCCGGCUAAAAGUCGGAGGAAGGUGGGAUGACGUCCAAUCAUCAUGCCCCUUAUGACCUGGGCUACACACGUGCUACAAUGGGCGGUACAAAGGGUCGCGAACCCGCAGGGGGAGCCAAUCCCAAAAAGCCGCUCUCAGUUCGGAUUGCAGGCUGCAACUCGCCUGCAUGAAGCCGGAAUCGCUAGUAAUCGCGGAUCAGCAUGCCGCGGUGAAUACGUUCCCGGGCCUU